GUCUACGGCCAUACCACCCUGAACGCACCCAGUCUCAUCUGAUCUCAGAAGCUAAGCAAGAUCAAACCUGGUUAAUACUUGGAUGGGAGAAAAAGUGGGAAAAUGAUAAAUUUGUCAUCC
RNAcentral lists this ribosomal RNA (120 nucleotides) under Saimiri boliviensis boliviensis (Bolivian squirrel monkey). Lineage: Eukaryota; Metazoa; Chordata; Mammalia; Primates; Cebidae. The record is from RNAcentral.